This 465-nucleotide ribosomal RNA is filed under the name uncultured bacterium. RNAcentral describes it as "bacterial SSU rRNA". It matches the Rfam family "Bacterial small subunit ribosomal RNA", at positions 926 to 1391 of the family's 1533-position model. The record is from RNAcentral.
CAAGCGGUGGAGCAUGUGGUUUAAUUCGAUGCAACGCGAAGAACCUUACCUAGUCUUGACAUCCACAGAAUUUUGCAGAGAUGCUAUAGUGCCUUCGGGAACUGUGAGACAGGUGCUGCAUGGCUGUCGUCAGCUCGUGUUGUGAAAUGUUGGGUUAAGUCCCGCAACGAGCGCAACCCUUAUCCUUUGUUGCCAUUGAUUCGGCCGGGAACUCAAAGGAGACUGCCGGUGAUAAACCGGAGGAAGGUGGGGAUGACGUCAAGUCAUCAUGGCCCUUACGACCAGGGCUACACACGUGCUACAAUGGCGCAUACAAAGAGAAGCGACCUCGCGAGAGCAAGCGGACCUCAUAAAGUGCGUCUAAGUCCGGAUUGGAGUCUGCAACUCGACUCCGUGAAGUCGGAAUCGCUAGUAAUCGUGAAUCAGAAUGCCACGGUGAAUACGUUCCCGGGCCUUGUACACACC